AGAAAUACCAUCCACACUGAAGAGCCUAAAGCAUUGUCACCGCUGUGGGAGCGUGCACGUGCUCACAGUACUUCUGCUGGAGUGCUCAGGAGCCUCUGAACUGAUUCAACAGAGAACAUCAUGGAGAUUUUCAGAGGGUGCAGCUGGUUGGUGCGAGGAGUGACACAGCUAAUGACAUGUGGAUCACCUGAGGGCAGUGGGUGUGUUUUAAUGGUGGCAUACAGGGACCAGUGAGUGAAGACAGAAGAAUACACCAAGCAAUUCCAUGAACAGGCCACUGAAAAGUAUCAGUCAGGAGAUGGAUACUGAUAUUUUCAAAUCACAGGAAAUCCUUUGGAGUCCAGCUAAUCCUCCUGUGUGUUCCACAGACACUGGUUCUAAACAAUAAGAUGCAAAGAUCAGUUCUCUGUCUGUAAUCCAUGGAGUCAGUUAAAGGUGAAUCAUUUAUUUGAGACUGUUUCUGACUGUUUAAUGUAUUUCCCACUAAAAUUACAGAAUAAAACCCAUUUGAAGUUCUUA
This is a long non-coding RNA of Acanthochromis polyacanthus (spiny chromis), 519 nucleotides long. RefSeq lists it as uncharacterized. NCBI's taxonomy places the organism in Eukaryota, Metazoa, Chordata, Actinopteri, Pomacentridae. The record is from RefSeq and is a predicted model, not a curated record. The transcript has 2 exons.